GAUGAACGCUGACAGAAUGCUUAACACAUGCAAGUCAACUUGAACUUCGGUUUGGGUGGCGGACGGGUGAGUAACGCGUAAAGAACUUGCCUCACAGAUAGGGACAACAUUUGGAAACGAAUGCUAAUACCUGAUAUUAUGAUUAUAUGGCAUCGGAUAAUUAUGAAAGCUAUAUGCGCUGUGAGAGAGCUUUGCGUCCCAUUAGCUAGUUGGAGAGGUAACGGCUCACCAAGGCGAUGAUGGGUAGCCGGCCUGAGAGGGUGAUCGGCCACAAGGGGACUGAGACACGGCCCUUACUCCUACGGGAGGCAGCAGUGGGGAAUAUUGGACAAUGGACCAAGAGUCUGAUCCAGCAAUUCUGUGUGCACGAUGAAGUUUUUCGGAAUGUAAAGUGCUUUCAGUUGGGAAGAAAAAAAUGACGGUACCAACAGAAGAAGUGACGGCUAAAUACGUG
RNAcentral lists this ribosomal RNA (454 nucleotides) under uncultured bacterium. RNAcentral describes it as "partial 16S ribosomal RNA". It matches the Rfam family "Bacterial small subunit ribosomal RNA", at positions 28 to 507 of the family's 1533-position model. The record is from RNAcentral.